This 358-nucleotide ribosomal RNA is filed under the name Amaricoccus sp. HAR-UPW-R2A-40. Its description in RNAcentral is "Bacterial large subunit ribosomal RNA". It matches the Rfam family "Bacterial large subunit ribosomal RNA", at positions 2489 to 2859 of the family's 2925-position model. The record is from Rfam by way of RNAcentral. Lineage: Bacteria; Pseudomonadati; Pseudomonadota; Alphaproteobacteria; Rhodobacterales; Paracoccaceae.
UGCCCAAGAGUCCAUAUCGACGGCAGUGUUUGGCACCUCGAUGUCGGCUCAUCACAUCCUGGGGCUGGAGAAGGUCCCAAGGGUACGGCUGUUCGCCGUUUAAAGUGGUACGUGAGCUGGGUUUAGAACGUCGUGAGACAGUUCGGUCCCUAUCUGCCGUGGGUGUCGGAGACUUGAGAGGAGUUGCCCCUAGUACGAGAGGACCGGGGUGAACGCACCACUGGUGGACCUGUUGUCGUGCCAACGGCAGUGCAGGGUAGCUAUGUGCGGACAGGAUAACCGCUGAAGGCAUCUAAGCGGGAAGCCCCCUCAAAACCAGGUCUCCCUUGAGGGCCGUGGAAGACCACCACGUCGAUAG